GCCGCUUUUAGCUCAGCCGGUAGAGCACCUCAUUCGUAAUGAGGGGGUCAGGUGUUCGAGUCACCUAAGCGGCACCA
This 77-nucleotide transfer RNA is filed under the name Streptomyces sp. SID5477. RNAcentral describes it as "tRNA-Thr". It matches the Rfam family "tRNA". Rfam says of the family: Transfer RNA (tRNA) molecules are approximately 80 nucleotides in length. Their secondary structure includes four short double-helical elements and three loops (D, anti-codon, and T loops). Lineage: Bacteria; Bacillati; Actinomycetota; Actinomycetes; Kitasatosporales; Streptomycetaceae. The record is from RNAcentral.